UUGUAGGUGCAGCGGAUCGGCCGUAG
This 26-nucleotide non-coding RNA is filed under the name Mus musculus (house mouse). Lineage: Eukaryota; Metazoa; Chordata; Mammalia; Rodentia; Muridae. The record is from RNAcentral.